AUUGAACGCUGGCGGCAGGCCUAACACAUGCAAGUCGAACGAGUGGCGGACGGGAGAGUAAUGUCUGGGAAACUGCCCGAUGGAGGGGGAUAACUACUGGAAACGGUAGCUAAUACCGCAUACCAGCGGAUGUGCCCAGGUGGGAUUAGCUAGUAGGUGGGGUAACGGCUUACCUAGGCGACGAUCCCUAGCUGGUCUGAGAGGGUGAACAGCCACACUGGAACUGAGACACGGUCCAGACUCCUACGGGAGGCAGCAGUGGGGAAUAUUGCACAAUGGGCGAAAGCCUGAUGCAGCCAUGCCGCGUGUAUGAAGAAGGCCUUCGGAUUGUAAAGUACUUUCAGUGAGGAGGCGUUACUCGCAGAGGAAGCCCCGGCUAACUACGUGCCAGCAGCCGCGGUAAUAC
RNAcentral lists this ribosomal RNA (406 nucleotides) under uncultured bacterium. RNAcentral describes it as "partial 16S ribosomal RNA". It matches the Rfam family "Bacterial small subunit ribosomal RNA", at positions 30 to 526 of the family's 1533-position model. The record is from RNAcentral.